Molecule: long non-coding RNA, 727 nt
Organism: Gymnodraco acuticeps
Lineage: Eukaryota; Metazoa; Chordata; Actinopteri; Perciformes; Bathydraconidae
Exons: 6
Source: RefSeq, a predicted model, not a curated record
CAAAAACAAAAGUGUUGCAUUUAUAUUUUUGUUCAGUGUAGGAAAAAAAAGAUAUGUGUUUUAUCUAACAUUUAAAGCUAUUCUAACAUUUUGUCAAUACAGGGCACACUUCACCUGUGCUGUAGUUGCAAUGAGGCUUUUCUGUUUUUGUUGGUUAAAGCCCUCUGGAGGAUGUGAGCCAAACUUGAAAAACACAUCAGUAAGGAGAAGUGUAAUUACCACUCUAGGAAGCAGUUACCACGUAAGAGUCCAGUCGUGAGAGGAUAGAUGCUGUGUGAAAGUCAUGAGAGCACCCGAAUGGCCAGUAUUUUAAGCACCUACGGAAGCAGACACUGCAGGUUUUGAUGAAGAGGAGUAUGAGGAACAGAGCAAUAGCGAGGAGGAAGGCCAAGACAUCCAGGCUGUGAUACUGGUACCAGGCAUGGACAACCCACCGUUCCUGCACCGUGGAAAAGACCUUGAUAUCACUGCCUGCUCUGCUAUUGAAUUCUGCCUGAUUGGGCCACAAAAGAUCCUCAGACUUCAUGCCAAACAGAACCAGAGAGGAAUAAACCAACACCAAGUUGCUGAAGGCUUGGCCAGAAAAUCUGCCAUGACAGAAAGACAGGCAGCAGUGAUGACUGUUGCCCACGGCGACUGUCCCGGAUGGUCGUACUCCACAACCAGAGAGAAGCAGCUCCAGGGGAAGUCCGCCCCGACGUGCUGCUCAUGCACCACCACACACACA